GAACAAAAAUGCAAGAAAAAGGAACUUCUGUCCUCCAAGCCACGUCGUGGUAAAGAUGCAGCAUACCUCUCAGAAAUUUAAGUUAAUAGAAACAAGCACUACAUGCUAAUGUACAUGGAAUGUGUGACUAACAGAGAAAAAGUGAUACUGUGAGGAUGUAAAAAGUGAGCUAACUCGAAAAGUCCUCAAGAAGUAGUGUUAAUGAGUGCUUCAAGUUGGAAACAAUUUUCAACUGGAGAAAUGUGCCCAGUCUGUUGGUGAAGAGAAAGCACAGGAGAGGUCAGAUUAUUUAAUAUAGAAUAAAGUAAGCAUCAGCUACCUACCCUCUAAAAGAUGAACCUACUUGAGAGAGGAGAGAACAUCAAAGGCUGUAAUAUGCUGAGCUUUCUAAGAAAACUGCUUUGAAGGGAACAGGUUUUGCUUGGAUGGGGACUGGGAGUUGGAGAGGGGAGACUGGAGAGAGUAGGAAGGGAAACUGGAAAUGAAAAGAAAAACACUGAGCCCCACAGUUUCAAGUCGGAGACAAAUUAUCUCAAGAAGAAAGAGACAUUAUACAAAUGCAAGCUGUUGUCACAACAAUGAUAAGAAAUCAGGAGUCGAAAGAUGUGGAGUAAGGGGGAAUUUCAGAGAAACCACAAAACACAAAAUAGGAAACAGAGACAGGAGAAGAUUGCUAUGACAAAAUUGCAGAAGGUGAAAUCUUUGGCAGCCUCUUAUUUCUCUGGAGAAUAUGAUAUUGUCAGGCUGAGGUGGAAGAAUCACAUGGUCAUACUGUUGAAGAGGUCUUGAAACAUUGGGCUUUCCUCUACAAGCGGAAGGAUAGCACUGGCAGCCAUCCACUGGCCCAGCAAUAUCCUGGAUUGAGACGAUAUCAUUUGCAUUACUUGCUGAAUGAAACAUAGUGAAAAUGACUGCAGAUAACCUCAACUAAGUCCAAGAUAUCAUUUUCAAAUCUGGACCAGCCCUUGCCAUCUAGACUGAACAGAGAUUCCAGUUUCCAGGAGAGUAGAUGGAGUAAUGAUAAAAGCACCUCCCAAAACUUUUGCCUUGGUACUACAGAGUGGCACAUAACUAAACAUUAUCAAGGAAUUUUACAGCCCUAGGCCUUCUAUUACUGUGUAUUACAGUCUGCUGUAAUCAUUCUAAUGGUCUAAGAUGUUGCAAGUAAUUUACUCACGGCCUGAACACCAGAAGUGCCAAAAUUGCCUGGGAGUUUUAUUCUGCAUCCAACCAGUACCAGGAAGGAGGAUGUAUUACUUCUCGUUUCUCUACAAGUGUCAGUGCAAAUCCAGCCAUCAAACAAAACUUAGACCUAAAAGCUUUUAGAUUACAGCGAUUAUUGCAGAUUUUACAUGAGAUAAAAAUGUAAUUGCUC
RNAcentral lists this long non-coding RNA (1375 nucleotides) under Homo sapiens (human). RNAcentral's name for it is "long intergenic non-protein coding RNA 1478". Lineage: Eukaryota; Metazoa; Chordata; Mammalia; Primates; Hominidae. The record is from RNAcentral.